UAGUCACGCUGUAAACGAUGUCGAUUUGGAGUUUGGGGGCAUGACCCUUGGGCUCCGGAGCUAACGCGUUAAAUCGACCGCUGGGGAGUACGGCCGCAAGGUUAAAACUCAAAUGAAUUGACGGGGGCCCGCACAGCGGUGGAGCAUGUGGUUUAAUUCGAUGCAACGCGAAGAACCUUACCUGGUCUUGACAUCCAUAGAAUCUUUCAGAGAUGAGAGAGUGCCUUCGGGAGCUAUGAGACAGGUGCUGCAUGGCUGUCGUCAGCUCGUGUUGUGAAAUGUUGGGUUAAGUCCCGCAACGAGCGCAACCCCUAUCCUUUGUUGCCAGCACGUAAUGGUGGGAACUCAAAGGAGACUGCCGUUGAUAAAGCGGAGGAAGGUGGGGACGACGUCAAGUCAUCAUGGCCCUUACGACCAGGGCUACACACGUGCUACAAUGGCGUAUACAAAGGGAUGCGAAGGUGCGAACUGGAGCGGACCUCACAAAGUACGUCUAAGUCCGGAUUGGAGUCUGCAACUCGACUCCAUGAAGUCGGAAUCGCUAGUAAUCGUGAAUCAGAAUGUCACGGUGAAUACGUUCCCGGGCCUUGUACACACCGCCCGUCACACCAUGGGAGUGGGUUGCACCAGAAGUAGAUAGCUUAACCUUCGGGAGGGCGUUUACCACGGUGUGGUUCAUGACUGGGGUGAAGUCGUAACAAGGUAACCA
Molecule: ribosomal RNA, 709 nt
Filed under: uncultured Enterobacteriaceae bacterium
Lineage: Bacteria; Pseudomonadati; Pseudomonadota; Gammaproteobacteria; Enterobacterales; Enterobacteriaceae
Description: bacterial SSU rRNA
Rfam family: Bacterial small subunit ribosomal RNA
Source: RNAcentral